CCUACGGGGCGCAGCAGUGAGGAAUAUUGGUCAAUGGGCGAGAGCCUGAACCAGCCAAGUCGCGUGAAGGAUGACGGCCCUACGGGUUGUAAACUUCUUUUGUCAGGGAGCAAUUGGGUCCACGCGUGGGCUUAGCGAGAGUACCUGAAGAAAAAGCAUCGGCUAACUACGUGCCAGCAGCCGCGGUAAUACGUAGGGGGCAAGCGUUAUCCGGAUUUACUGGGUGUAAAGGGAGCGUAGACGGCAGCGCAAGUCUGGAGUGAAAUGCCGGGGCCCAACCCCGGAACUGCUCUGGAAACUGUGAA
RNAcentral lists this ribosomal RNA (305 nucleotides) under uncultured bacterium. RNAcentral describes it as "bacterial SSU rRNA". It matches the Rfam family "Bacterial small subunit ribosomal RNA", at positions 338 to 639 of the family's 1533-position model. The record is from RNAcentral.